This 253-nucleotide ribosomal RNA is filed under the name uncultured bacterium. RNAcentral describes it as "partial 16S ribosomal RNA". It matches the Rfam family "Bacterial small subunit ribosomal RNA", at positions 524 to 776 of the family's 1533-position model. The record is from RNAcentral.
UACGGGGGGAGCAAGCGUUGUUCGGAUUUAUUGGGCGUAAAGAGCUCGUAGGCGGCUUGUCGCGUCGACCGUGAAAACUUGGGGCUCAACCCCAAGCCUGCGGUCGAUACGGGCAGGCUCGAGUUCGGUAGGGGAGACUGGAAUUCCUGGUGUAGCGGUGAAAUGCGCAGAUAUCAGGAGGAACACCAAUAGCGAAGGCAGCUCGCUGGGACGUUACUGACACUGAGGCGCGAAAGCGUGGGGAGCGAACAGG